RNAcentral lists this ribosomal RNA (1478 nucleotides) under Synechococcus sp. A15-60. RNAcentral's name for it is "bacterial SSU rRNA". It matches the Rfam family "Bacterial small subunit ribosomal RNA". Lineage: Bacteria; Bacillati; Cyanobacteriota; Cyanophyceae; Synechococcales; Synechococcaceae. The record is from RNAcentral.
AGAGUUUGAUCCUGGCUCAGGAUGAACGCUGGCGGCGUGCUUAACACAUGCAAGUCGAACGAACCUUCGGGUUAGUGGCGGACGGGUGAGUAACGCGUGGGAAUCUGCCCUCAGGAGGGGGAUAACGGCUGGAAACGGCCGCUAAUACCCCAUAUGCCGAGAGGUGAAAUGAAUUUCGCCUGAGGAUGAGCCCGCGUCUGAUUAGCUAGUUGGUGAGGUAAGAGCUCACCAAGGCAUCGAUCAGUAGCUGGUCUGAGAGGAUGAUCAGCCACACUGGGACUGAGACACGGCCCAGACUCCUACGGGAGGCAGCAGUGGGGAAUUUUCCGCAAUGGGCGAAAGCCUGACGGAGCAACGCCGCGUGAGGGAUGAAGGCCUCUGGGCUGUAAACCUCUUUUCUCAAGGAAGAAGAUCUGACGGUACUUGAGGAAUAAGCCACGGCUAAUUCCGUGCCAGCAGCCGCGGUAAUACGGGAGUGGCAAGCGUUAUCCGGAAUUAUUGGGCGUAAAGCGUCCGCAGGCGGCCCUUCAAGUCUGCUGUUAAAACGUGGAGCUUAACUCCAUCAUGGCAGUGGAAACUGUUGGGCUUGAGUGUGGUAGGGGCAGAGGGAAUUCCCGGUGUAGCGGUGAAAUGCGUAGAUAUCGGGAAGAACACCAGUGGCGAAGGCGCUCUGCUGGGCCAUAACUGACGCUCAUGGACGAAAGCCAGGGGAGCGAAAGGGAUUAGAUACCCCUGUAGUCCUGGCCGUAAACGAUGAACACUAGGUGUCGGGGGAAUCGACCCCCUCGGUGUCGUAGCCAACGCGUUAAGUGUUCCGCCUGGGGAGUACGCACGCAAGUGUGAAACUCAAAGGAAUUGACGGGGGCCCGCACAAGCGGUGGAGUAUGUGGUUUAAUUCGAUGCAACGCGAAGAACCUUACCAGGGUUUGACAUCCUGCGAAUCUUUUGGAAACGAGAGAGUGCCUUCGGGAACGCAGUGACAGGUGGUGCAUGGCUGUCGUCAGCUCGUGUCGUGAGAUGUUGGGUUAAGUCCCGCAACGAGCGCAACCCACGUCUUUAGUUGCCAGCAUUUAGUUGGGCACUCUAGAGAGACCGCCGGUGAUAAACCGGAGGAAGGUGUGGAUGACGUCAAGUCAUCAUGCCCCUUACAUCCUGGGCUACACACGUACUACAAUGCUACGGACAAAGAGCAGCAAGUUCGCGAGGACAAGCAAAUCUCAUAAACCGUGGCUCAGUUCAGAUCGUAGGCUGCAACUCGCCUACGUGAAGGAGGAAUCGCUAGUAAUCGCAGGUCAGCAUACUGCGGUGAAUACGUUCCCGGGCCUUGUACACACCGCCCGUCACACCAUGGAAGUUGGCCACGCCCGAAGCCGUUACUCCAACCCUUGUGGAGGAGGACGUCGAAGGUGGGGCUGAUGACUGGGGUGAAGUCGUAACAAGGUAGCCGUACCGGAAGGUGCGGCUGGAUCACCUCCUAA